Dipodomys ordii (Ord's kangaroo rat) is the source of this 71-nucleotide non-coding RNA. NCBI's taxonomy places the organism in Eukaryota, Metazoa, Chordata, Mammalia, Rodentia, Heteromyidae. The record is from Rfam.
GGGAAGGUGGCUCAGUGGUAAAGCACUUGCCUUGCAUGCAUGAGGCCCUGGGUUCAAUUCCUCAGCACCCA